Molecule: ribosomal RNA, 253 nt
Filed under: uncultured bacterium
Lineage: Bacteria
Description: partial 16S ribosomal RNA
Rfam family: Bacterial small subunit ribosomal RNA
Source: RNAcentral
UACGUAGGGUGCAAGCGUUGUUCGGAAUUACUGGGCGUAAAGCGCGCGUAGGCGGACAUUUAAGUCAGGGGUGAAAUGCCGGGGCUCAACCUCGGAACUGCCUUUGAUACUGUGGUGCUUGAGUACUGGAGAGGAGAUUGGAAUUUACGGUGUAGCAGUGAAAUGCGUAGAUAUCGUAAGGAAGACCAGUGGCGAAGGCGAAUCUCUGGACAGUUACUGACACUGAGGCACGAAGGCCAGGGGAGCAAACGGG